UGGGCAAAUGGGUCAAAGGAGGCGC
This 25-nucleotide non-coding RNA is filed under the name Rattus norvegicus (Norway rat). The record is from RNAcentral. Lineage: Eukaryota; Metazoa; Chordata; Mammalia; Rodentia; Muridae.